Molecule: ribosomal RNA, 501 nt
Filed under: uncultured bacterium
Lineage: Bacteria
Description: partial 16S ribosomal RNA
Rfam family: Bacterial small subunit ribosomal RNA
Source: RNAcentral
AUUGAACGCUGGCGGCAGGCUUAACACAUGCAAGUCGAGCGGGGGAAGGUAGCUUGCUACUGGACCUAGUGGCGGACGGGUGAGUAAUGCUUAGGAAUCUGCCUAUUAGUGGGGGACAACAUCUCGAAAGGGAUGCUAAUACCGCAUACGUCCUACGGGAGAAAGCAGGGGAUCUUCGGACCUUGCGCUAAUAGAUGAGCCUAAGUCGGAUUAGCUAGUUGGUGGGGUAAAUGCCUACCAAGGCGACGAUCUGUAGCGGGUCUGAGAGGAUGAGCCGCAACACUGGGACUGAGACACGGCCCAGACUCCUACGGGAGGCAGCAGUGGGGAAUAUUGGACAAUGGGGGGAACCCUGAUCCAGCCAUGCCGCGUGUGUGAAGAAGGCCUUAUGGUUGUAAAGCACUUUAAGCGAGGAGGAGGCUACUUUAGUUAAUACCUAGAGAUAGUGGACGUUACUCGCAGAAUAAGCACCGGCUAACUCUGUGCCAGCAGCCGCCGUAA